This 492-nucleotide ribosomal RNA is filed under the name uncultured bacterium. RNAcentral's name for it is "partial 16S ribosomal RNA". It matches the Rfam family "Bacterial small subunit ribosomal RNA", at positions 29 to 507 of the family's 1533-position model. The record is from RNAcentral.
AGUGAACGCUGGCGGUAGGCCUAACACAUGCAAGUCGAACGGCAGCACAGUAAGAGCUUGCUCUUACGGGUGGUGAGUGGCGGACGGGUGAGGAAUACAUCGGAAUCUACUUUUUCGUGGGGGAUAACGUAGGGAAACUUACGCUAAUACCGCAUACGACCUACGGGUGAAAGCAGGGGAUCUUCGGACCUUGCGCGAUUGAAUGAGCCGAUGUCGGAUUAGCUAGUUGGCGGGGUAAAGGCCCACCAAGGCGACGAUCCGUAGCUGGUCUGAGAGGAUGAAUAGCCCCCACUGAACCUAGGAACCGUCCCAGCUCCCUCCGGGGGGCAGCGGUGGGAAUUUUUGACAAUGGGCGCAAGCCUGAUCCAGCCAUACCGCGUGGGUGAAGAAGGCCUUCGGGUUGUAAAGCCCUUUUGUUGGGAAAGAAAAGCAGCAGGUUAAUACCCCGCUGUUCUGACGGUACCCAAAGAAUAAGCACCGGCUAACUUCGUG